RNAcentral lists this microRNA precursor (77 nucleotides) under Vicugna pacos (alpaca). RNAcentral describes it as "miRNA (ENSVPAG00000017631.1)". Lineage: Eukaryota; Metazoa; Chordata; Mammalia; Artiodactyla; Camelidae. The record is from RNAcentral.
UCACCUGGGAUCUUAAAGUGCAGAUUCUGGUUCAGGAGCCUGCGAUUCUGCAUUUCUAACAAGCUUCCAGGUGCUGC